GUUUAUUUGUUCUCAUAAGGAAGAAGUGAAGCAACAAAAACACUGCUGAGCUGAACUAGAGCAAUAGAACAUUUUGAGUUGGAAGGGACCCACAAGGAUAUUGAAUCCAACUACGUCAAAAAGUGUUUCCGAAACCCCCUCCGGCCAGUGCUACAGAGAAGAGUUCCAGUAGAUCACUGAUGUGCAAAUAACUUUGCAGUAUGUUUGUUUUAUAUUGUGUUUUCAUCUGGAAUGCAUCUGUAAAGCUAACAAAUACCGUGCAUCAAACAUAGAGACAUCCAGCUGACAGCUCCAUUCCUCCUUCACUGAGACUUGUGUUCCAUCAGGGAGAAAUAUAUCAAGUUAAUAAAAUAAUUAAUCUCCUAAAAGGGGUUAAGAGCAUUCAUUUAUCUACAUUUGUAUUUAAUAUUUGUGUGUUGGAGGUAAGUUUGUGAUCCAAGUGACCCUUCCCAGACUCUGUAUCUUUUGACAGCAAUGCACUUAUAACAAAGUCUGCUGAGAGAAUCAUAGAAUCACUCAGCUUGAAAAAGACCCUGAAGAUCAUCCAAGCAUGACCUAGCCAUACUACCCUAACCAGAAACCCUCUACUAAAUCAUGUCCCUGAGCACCACAUCCAAACGGUUCUUAAACACAUCCAGGGAUGGUGACUUAACCACCUCCCUGGGGAGCCUAUUCCAGGGC
This 681-nucleotide long non-coding RNA is filed under the name Gallus gallus (chicken). RNAcentral's name for it is "long non-coding RNA NONGGAT004614". The record is from RNAcentral. Lineage: Eukaryota; Metazoa; Chordata; Aves; Galliformes; Phasianidae.